This 250-nucleotide ribosomal RNA is filed under the name uncultured bacterium. Its description in RNAcentral is "partial 16S ribosomal RNA". It matches the Rfam family "Bacterial small subunit ribosomal RNA", at positions 524 to 773 of the family's 1533-position model. The record is from RNAcentral.
UACGGAGGGGGCUAGCGUUGUUCGGAAUUACUGGGCGUAAAGCGCGCGUAGGCGGUUUACUAAGUUGGGCGUGAAAGCCCGGGGCUCAACCCCGGAACUGCGUUCAAAACUGGUAGACUAGAGGCCGGGAGAGGAGAGCGGAAUUCCAAGUGUAGAGGUGAAAUUCGUAGAUAUUUGGAAGAACACCAGUGGCGAAGGCGGCUCUCUGGCCCGGUUCUGACGCUGAGGCGCGAAAGCGUGGGGAGCGAAC